UCAUGGAUACUAGUCUGGUUCAUCACCACUGAGCCACCCCAGAACUCCUCACAUAUUAUUAUAGAUUUUAUUUCUUUACCUUGUUUCCUUCUUCUCUGGAAAUGUAAGCUCUAUUAGCACAGGAGUUUUUAUCUCUGUAGUUCUUUGCUCUAUCUCUAGCAUUUAGAACACUACCAUGUUAGUUUUUAAAAAAAAGUAAUACACAGAAACCUUGAUUAGAGUCAGGAGACCAGAAGGGGGAGCUCUCACAUCCUGAAGGAUAGCAGAGUCCAACAGGAAGACAGCUCCUUUCCUGGUAUGGACUCAGCCAAUGAAAAGCCAGGGUCCCUUUGUUUACUACAGCCCUCCCCACUUCCUUUCCCUCUAUAAAAGCAACCUUCUUUCCUUGCCCUGCAAGUAGCUCCCCAUGGUUGCAGACCCUGAAACAAUUCUCUGCUGAUCUGCAAUAAAUCCAUCUUUGCUGGAGAAACAGCUGGCAGUCUCUUUGCUUCAGGUCCUGAAGGAAGGAACCAACCGUUGAUAACAAUGGUUUGACUACAAAUUGACAGCGCUCUUUUCUGGAUGGCAAAGUAAGCGUAAUCAAGGGAAGACCAUGCCUGUAAUUAACUGUGAUUUCUGUUAAGAAAAAAAAAAAAAAA
Molecule: non-coding RNA, 638 nt
Organism: Sus scrofa (pig)
Lineage: Eukaryota; Metazoa; Chordata; Mammalia; Artiodactyla; Suidae
Source: RefSeq, a predicted model, not a curated record